RNAcentral lists this transfer RNA (86 nucleotides) under Microbacteriaceae bacterium BACL25 MAG-120322-bin65. RNAcentral's name for it is "tRNA-Leu". It matches the Rfam family "tRNA". From Rfam's summary of the family: Transfer RNA (tRNA) molecules are approximately 80 nucleotides in length. The record is from RNAcentral. Lineage: Bacteria; Bacillati; Actinomycetota; Actinomycetes; Micrococcales; Microbacteriaceae. RNAcentral also lists the same sequence under 1 other name.
GCCGGAUUGGCGGAAUGGCAGACGCGGAGCACUCAAAAUGCUUUGUCCGAAAGGGCGUGUGGGUUCAAAUCCCACAUCCGGCACCC